Molecule: long non-coding RNA, 365 nt
Organism: Gymnodraco acuticeps
Lineage: Eukaryota; Metazoa; Chordata; Actinopteri; Perciformes; Bathydraconidae
Exons: 3
Source: RefSeq, a predicted model, not a curated record
CUCAAAAUGACCUGCAGGCUCAAGCUCGGUUCGUCAUCGUUUUGGCCAGUCUAAGGCGGUGGAGGUGUACCGUCUGAUCACUAGAAACUAUGAGAGGGAAAUGCUGGAUAAAGCUAGUCUGAAGCUCGGGCUGGACCGUCCCGUCCUGCAGAGCAUGAGUGGCAACAACAACGGGCCGGUCCAGCAGUUCUCUAAGAAGGAGAUCGAGGACCUGCUGAGGAAAGGAGCCUACGCCGCCAUCAUGGACGAGAACGACGAAGGCAAUCGCUUCUGCUAGGAGGACAUCGACCAGAUCCUGCAGCGAAGAGCCACCAUCAUCACCAUCACCAGGUAUGUUCUUAGCAGCACUAGCCACUUGCGCUUUG